UGUCUAUUAAUUGUAGACCUGUAUGAAAGGAUAAAUGAGGGUCUAACUGUCUCUUAUAAUAAAUCAAUUAAACUGAUCUUCUAGUAAAAAAGCUAGAAUCACUCCACAAGACCAGAAGACCCUGUGAAGCUUAAACUAAAAUAUUAAACCAUAUAAUAUCUAAUUUCGGUUGGGGCGACCUUGGAAUAAAAAAGAACUUCCAAACAAUAUGACCAUAAAUCAUACCAGCAGGCCUACAAGCCAUAAACGACCCAGCACAGCUGAUAAUUGAACCAAGUUACUCCAGGGAUAACAGCGCCAUCUUCUUCAAGAGCCCAUAUCAAAAAGAAGGUUUACGACCUCGAUGUUGGAUCAGGACAUCCUGAUGGUGCA
Molecule: ribosomal RNA, 372 nt
Filed under: Heterodon platirhinos
Lineage: Eukaryota; Metazoa; Chordata; Lepidosauria; Squamata; Dipsadidae
Description: partial 16S ribosomal RNA
Rfam family: Bacterial large subunit ribosomal RNA
Source: RNAcentral